RNA transcript from Sus scrofa (pig), 709 nucleotides. RefSeq lists it as uncharacterized. The record is from RefSeq and is a predicted model, not a curated record. Lineage: Eukaryota; Metazoa; Chordata; Mammalia; Artiodactyla; Suidae.
UGUGUUGCUUUGGCUCUGGUGUAGGCCAGCAGCUGUAGCUCUGAUUCAACCCCUAGCCUGGGAACCUCCAUGUGCCACAGGUGCUGACUGCCUCCUGCCUUCACAGGUUCUGGUUUAUAAUUGGAUGUAGCCUGGGGAUCCAGAGCAUUUCAAUCUCCCCAGGUGAUUCUAAUAUGUCUAAUAGGCAGACCGGUUUGAGAACCACUAUUCUAGGUUUAAUAAGUCAAAUAAGUAGCUUGGUCCACCCACCUCCAGAGACUCUCCAGAGAACAGUUGUUCUCGAAGUGUGAUCCCCGGACCGGCAUAAGCAUCACUUGGGAACUUCUUCCAAACGUGAUUUUCAGGCUCCAUCUCAGACCCACUGAAUCAACAAUUCUGGGGGUGGGGUGCAGCAGUCUGUGUCAUCACGAGACCCCCAAGUGACUGUGAUACCCCCUGAAGUCAGAGAACCACAGCUAUAUUAUCAUUGCUGUAACUUGAGGAUCCCAAUCGCCAUCCCCUCAGAGACCAGCCGGAGCAAGAACCAAGGGCUGUCCGUCCUCUGAAUUUGGGGCAAUACCAAAUAUCCAGUUUCCAGGGUUAGAUGUUGUGAAUCCUGAGGUGAUGACAGCAUAGAAUCGGCCUUCAAAUAGAUGACAGUCCAUUGGAGGGGAGAGCUCAAUACCAAAAAAAUGAACAACCCCAUCAAAAAAUGAGCAGAAGAUCUAAA